This 83-nucleotide microRNA precursor is filed under the name Marmota monax (woodchuck). The record is from RNAcentral. Lineage: Eukaryota; Metazoa; Chordata; Mammalia; Rodentia; Sciuridae.
AUAUAAACCACCUGCAUUAUCUUGUUAAAAUGCAGAUUCUAAUUUAGUAGUUAGGAGUGGGAUCAGAGAUUCUGAAUUUCUAA